RNAcentral lists this long non-coding RNA (8723 nucleotides) under Podarcis lilfordi (Lilford's wall lizard). Lineage: Eukaryota; Metazoa; Chordata; Lepidosauria; Squamata; Lacertidae. The record is from RNAcentral.
GGGAGAAAGGCAGAUUCCCUUAAAAGCCACCCCAGUUAGUCAAGGUCCCAGUACCCCUCAUGGGGCUUAGAUAAGCCAUGACUAAGGCCCAUUCAAUGGCCUUCAGUGGGACUUACUCUUGAAUAUAUAUUUCACUAGAUGUGCCAAUAAAAUCUGAGGCUCCUUCAAAAACAUAUAUUUAUUUUCAGUACUACUAUUUAUCUACAUUGCAUUUUGUAGAACAAUGUACAUCGCACUUGUCCAAAGCAGCUUACAAACCAAGAGUUUCUAGGGAGCAACAACACAAAACAUCAGUUUGGGAGGAAAAGCAGUAGAUAAAUCCGUAAAUAUCCAUUAAUGAUCCACAUUGAUUCAGAACCAAAAGCAUGUGAGAGUGUGAGAGUGUGAAAUAGCAAUUGUUCUUUAGAUAAAUGAUGAUUUUUGUCACCAAAUUAUAGAAACAGGUGAGCUUAACAGGUGUAAGGUUUAGCCGGUGCCUAAAUCUUUAGCCAGGGUGGGCCUCUACCAUCACGGAACCUUAGGCCCCAUUCCACUGGAACAGAGGAACCCCACUGUCCAGAUUGGGAGCCCUGUCCCUAUGCCAUCAGCCGCAAACAAGGAAAUGCUUCUGGUCCUCCAGCAGGUAGGACCCCAAACCACCCUGGGACCUCCUCGUACAGGAGUGGUUACAAACAGAAGUGAACAAAAUUCAGGCCUCUUUGCAGAGGAUAUAAUUUUAUGCACCUCUGACCCUAUCACAGCAGGCAAAGUACUAUGUACAGAGUUGGAACAGUUCUCCAGGGUCUCAGGAUUGCAAAAAAAACUUUUAAGAAAGCAGAGGUAAUGCUUUUUCAUACACCACCCCAUUCAUUUACAACAGACUUUUACAGCAAGGUUGAAGGUUCCAAUAGCUAGGAAAAGUUUUAGAUAUCUGGGGGUGCAAAUCACCCAAAAUUUGAACAAACAAGUUGUAUCAGUUUAAUUACACCACAUAACAGAAAACUAAAAUGUUAUCUUAAAGAUUUCAAAAUAAAACAUCACAAAGGAGGUCAACUACAGAACACAUAUUUAACAUAGCAGAGCUGGUGAGUCUGGACCCGGCCCCCUAGGCGAGGUGGAAAGGGCCUUGCAGGGAGCGGCCUUCAUGCCCCACAGCUGGGCAGUGUUCCUCGUUUAUGCACGUUUAUUUACAUCCAGUGGUUCCAGGCCUGCCGCCAUUAGCUAUGAGUUGAGUCUGAGUCCCCACCCCUGUCACAGCACAAUGGGCACCAAAGUCCUUCCUCUUUUACACUUCCAUUGUACUUUAACCCUUUCAGCUCUUCUGAUUUGGGGAGAAGGUGGGUGGAAAUCUCUCUCCCCCCCCCCCCCGCUCUCAAACAAAGAGCCCUCUGAACACCAAAGAAGUGUGCAUGCACACGGAAGCUCAUACCAAUAACAAACUUAGUUGGUCUCUAAGGUGCUACUGGAAGUAUUUUUUUUAUUUUCUCUGAACACUGUUUCUCUACUGGUUGCAUAGCAACCCCCUGAAUGUCGUCUUAUCUCUUCUCCUCCCCCUGCCUGUGAACUGUCUUGAGUGCUGCUCUAUCUGAGCUAACCCCCUCCUGCUCUGUCUGCACUCUUUCGUCUCCAGGGUCAGACUCUGGUUCUCUCUGUACUGGCAGUCCUUCAUCUCCAGAGCUUGACUCUUCCCAGGCAUUCAUUUUAGCUAUGUCUCUGACACUAAGUCAUGACAAGACUUGGUAAUCCCAGUCUAAGAGUCAUGACGUCAACUUCAUGGUCAUUUUUGUUUUCUCCGGUUAUGGCCUCUUUCCCUUUCCUGCUUUAGUUGCACAGGUGAUUCCAACAAAUCAGGGACCACAACAUAUUUUAAACUGGCACAGCAUUUCUCAUAGUUAUCUGUUUCUUCAGGUAAGGAUUUCUGACAUCUUUGGUUUUUUCUCCCCACUCCUUUACUGGCUUUGUUUGGCCAAUAAAUUAUACUUUCAGCUUCUACUGUAUUCUGCCUGACCUUCCUCUGUGUAGCUGGCCUAAGCACUUCACUAUUCCUUUUCUGCUUUGCCUUCUGAAACAGGGCUGUCAGUUGCUAAAUGCUUUUUGUACUCACUUUACAGUUUACAGUUUACUUGCUUUUAACUGAUUCCAUCCAUCAAGUUAAUAUUGCAAGAUUUCAAUCCACCUGAUUAUUCUGAGGAUAUUUAGAGUUUCUCUCAGUUUUGUACUAUGGAAAUUCCUCCCAGUGGCUUCACAGCCUAUUCAUAUAUAUUUGUCAAAUAACUGUCUUGUUUUUGUUUUGUUUUUGGUUUUUUCUUUACUAAAAAUUGAUUACCUAACAAAUCUGCCAGAAGCUGGUCAAAAUAUUGGGUUAGAUCCUGGAGAAAUAAAGUGUCCCCACAAGGGUUGAAUGGCACAAGCUUACUACUCUGUCUCACUCUGGCCAGUGCCUGCAUGGAAUUAUUCCAGGCUCCCAUUAUAAGGCAUGCUGAAUUUUCUUAAAGUAGAAUGGAAUGUACAUGUAAUAACAGAGUGCAAAUAUUCUCUGAAAAUUAAGCUAUGCAAAUAUUCUUAUUUCCCAAUCCUGUUCAGUGCCAUUAUUUCUCUUAACUACUACCCUACCUCCCCAUAGCAAUUACUGAAUCAUCCUGUCUGAAUUGAUCACAUGAGAUAGGUGAUCUUACCCAACUAGGGAUUCUUAUGUAUUAAUUCAAAUAUCUAUGCUUUCCACUUUAUUUCUAAAGCAUCCAUACCCUAUACAGAUUUCCUCAACCUGGUGCUCUCCAGGUGUUUUGGAUAACAACUCCUGUCAUCCCUGAUAGAAUAUACCAGUGUGCUUGAUGGGAGUGAUAAUGUCACCAAACCAUGGUAACUUGGUUCUUUUGAAAUCCAGAGAGACAAGUGAGAUCCCAUAUGCUAUAGGGCUUUCAAUAAGACACGUCGGAGACCAGACCUGAGUUUACACACCUUUCAUGUAACAUUUAUUUCAUAUAGUCAAGUAUACAUUAAUACAUUGGUACCAAGAGAUUCGAACACUCAUGCAUUCACACAAAAACUCACACAAGGCCCUUCAUGUGGGUUGAUCAAGCAUCACGUAAGAGCUGUGGGUGUCUGGUUGUAGCGCUGGUCCUGGCAACACUGAGGGUAAGCAGAGUGCCCUUUUUAUAGUCUUCCCCCUUGGCGUCUAUGGGCUGGCUUUUAGAACGACUAAGUUUCCACCACUCUCCUCCUGUUCUCCUUCUGGACCACCACAUCACCUUUGCUGUUGUACCUCAGAAAUACAUACGUGUUUCAGGCCUUUAUCAUCUGUCCGUGGCCCACUGCCAGUUCCUCCUUGUCUUUGUUCUUUUCAGAGGAUAUUUAUUACUGUUGUUCAUCGCCAGUGACGUCCUGUUUUUAUCAGGGGAUUUUUGCAUCAGGGUUUUUUUUUGCUUUCAUUAAGCAAAACCAAUGUUCUUUUGAACACAGUUAUACAUUUUUUCCUUGAUAUAACCAGUUUCUCGCUUCGCCUGCCAGCAUAUCAUGCGAAUUCGCCAUCUUCCUUGAACCCAACAUUCAUACAUGACAAUAGUUCAAAACAUCUGGAAGCCAAUGGUAAAGAAGGCUAUGCCAAUCUGUGUAACCAAUCAGGUUUUAUAAUGCAAUGAUGUAAUCAAAGGCAAACAAAUGAUGAUGAGAUGUCAGUGUUAUAUAUGUGGGAUUUGCAGCCAAAAUCACAAAUGCACAUUUUGCUAGGCAAGCAUAGGGCUAGUUCUUGAACUUCCAAGAGGGGACCUUUUGCAUGUGGUCACAUCCUUUGCCACCUCUGCUCGCCCUUGCCCUCACAGCUCACCCUCCCCACCUGCUGCAGUGCUUUUCCACCUGCCAUGCAAAAUCGGGGCACCCCGGAAUAAAGGCAGAGCCCAGGUUGCCUUAAAAAAGUGAGGCUGUCCCUCUUAAAACAAGGUGCUUGGCAGGUGUGUGUUAAAUCCAAAGCUGAUAAAUUGAUGCUGGAUUAUUGCAAUGUGUGCUAUAUGAGACUGUCCUUAGGCUUUGUUCAAAAGUUCCAGCUCAUGCAGAAUGUAGCAGCCAGACUGAUGAUGGGGGCACAUGACUAACAACAUGUGGCACCUUUACUGUCAUCAGCUCAAGCCUGUGGAAUGCUCUGUCACUAGAGAUUCAGUAAGUCUUUUCUGUUUUAACCUUUAAACACCUGCUGAAAACUUUUGUGGUCCACCAAGUUUAGGCAAGCAAUUGAGAAAAUAUUUUUCUGUAACAGUUAGUUAAUGGUCUCUGGUUUUAAUUUUUAAAUGCAUUUUUAAUAUAGAUAUUGUAAAACACUUUGGUAUUCAUUAUGAUAUAGCCAUAUUUACACAUUUUUAUAGAUAAAUAAGUAGUCUUUGGUCCCAAACAAAAAGUGCUUCCCCCUGCUGGAAUGUAUUAUUAAGAAGAGAAGCUCUAAUAUAGGUGUUAGGGCCAGAGUCAGAUCAGCACUAAAGAAAUAAGUCACUGAUGCCAGUGAAAUUAAGGUUUCUAGUGGUUGUGGCUUUUCAGGGGCAUCUAAUUAUUAUUAUUAUUAUUAUUAUUAUUAUUAUUAUUAUUACUAUUAUUUAUACCCCGCCCUCCCCAGCCUAGGCCGGGCUCAGGGCGGCUAACAAGCAAUAAUAAAAACAAGUUGAAUGAAUACAACUUAAAAACAAGAUUAAAAUACAACAAUUAAGAUAUUGAAACAUUAAAAUAUUAAAAUGCAGCCUCAUCACAGGAGGAGAAAGGAAAAAGGAAAAAGAUAGAGGGGGAGGGAAUCAAAUUGGCUCCAAGCCAAAGGCCAGACGGAACAACUCUGUCUUACAGGCCCUGCGGAAAGUAAUCAGAUCCAGAUCAGAUCUGGCUGAUCACAAUGGGAAAAUAAGUUACUGGACCAGAUGGACCUUUGGUUUGAUCCAGAGGUGGUUUUUCUUACAAUGUUCUCUCUCUCUCUCUCUCUCUCUCUCUCUCUCUGUGUGUGUGUGUGUGUGUGUGGUGUGUACAUGCACACAUACAAGCACACAGGACAAAGUUCCUCAGUCCUCCCAAUCUUUUUCUCCCAUAUCCUUGUGAGGCACCCAUUCACUCACAAUGCUCUGGCACCAGGCUACUUUUUCACAGUUAUAAACACAAGCCGUUCUAUUAAUUUCAGAUGAUGCAUUUUCUAUGCCUAGCUAUGAAUAAACCAGAUCAAUGCCAGUAACAUGCUUUAUUGGUCCUCCCAUGAAAUGAAUUUGUAGAGAGACAGGCCACGAGAUGGAGUCGACAUGCAGAUGAGAUUGGUAAGUGAGAGUGUAUUGAUUAUUUUCACCCCAGGCCAGGCAGUAAUUCCAACUGGUGCCAGUAUUUCCUCUUGCUUUGGUUCAUUAUUUAUGCGAUAAAAACACUAUCCCAAUGAUAACAACACGUUUCAUUUCCAACCCCAAGCAUAAAGCAUCGACACUUAAGAUUGUGAGAGGUGAGCAGGAGGGUGGGGAAAAGGGGGGUGGCAGAGAUUUUUAAAAAAAAAACACACAAGAAAACAAGUGCUAGAGAAACUGAAAACUGCUGAGCCUGGUCUUGUGGCUUUUUAUGCCCUCCAAAAGGAAGAUUGAGAGCAGGUGUUAGAUUACCAGGCUCUUUAUUAAUAACUCAAGGCUUCUAAAAGAGGUGGAUUGAUGGCACACUCAGUGCUUAGCCAGUGAAUAAAACCCUAGGUUCAGCAUGCGACUCAAAUCCAACUCAAACACUUUGCUCCAUCAACUGCCUGCCUCUCCUCAACAAAAAGAAGCCCUCUUGAGGAAGAAAAGGGAUCCAGCAAAUAAAAUUGGACUCUUCUUCCACAUGAGCAUUCAUAAUAAAUAAAUAAAUAAAUAAAUGUCAAGGCUUUGCUUAAAAGCCGGAGAGAUUUCCUUUGUCAGACUGCAGGAACACUUGGGAAACAAGUGUUCUCUGGUGUCACCCACCAUCAGCUUGCUUUGCAAGAAAGUCCAAACUUUCUGGCUCCUUUGAUGAAAUAACUGAAGGUUGUUUUAGAACAGAGAUAGCCAACAUUGUGCCUUCCAGAUGUUGUUGAACUCCAGCCCUCAUCAGCCCCAGACAGCAUAGCCCAAGGUCAGGGAAGAUGGGGGUUGGAGUUCAAUAAAAUCUGGAGGUCACAAUGUUGAAAUGCCUAGUGCUUGGUUUAGACCAGGGAUAGCCAACAUGAAGCCCUUCAGAUAGCGUUGGACUGUAACUCCCAUCAUUGCUGACUGUUGGCCAUGCUGGCCUAGGUUGAUGGAGUUUGGAGGGCACCAUGUUUCUAUCCCUGGUUUAAGACAAGCUCCAGGCAUUUCUUCAAAAGAGGCAUCUUGUGAAAAGACUUUCUCUUUUCCAUAACCCAAGCGCACUGGGGGAACUUGAGGGGGGCAGCAUUAAAGCAAAAACCUGUAACAAAAUACAUACUUCACAUCACCUUUAUGAGAGAAAAAAAAACUGAGAUGCAUAUCCUUCUUAAAUAUCUUAACCAGCUGCCAACACCACUUCUCUUUCUGAUUCCUUUUUCCCUAGCUGUGGAAAUUAAUCUGAAGCAGUGGCGGACUUUGAACUCUCAAAUUUGAGUGGCACCCUGUGCAAUACUAAAAUUCAGCGACCCCCACCCCCACCUCUUGCACUCUGUUGUACAUCAUUGCUGCAGCGUCUCCUGUGGUGCUGGUGCAAAUAUGUAAGACCAAACCAGUUGCUCUACCCUGAAACUACCUCUGUCUGAAGGUAGGAUAGUCCUCUUAGCACUCCUUCGGUCUGUUCAGGUCAGAGCCCAAUCUGUAGCUUCCUCUGAACUCCUCUUAUAAGCUCAAAGCAAGUUAGGUAAGUAGGUGAGACAGACCCUGAGAUAGCAUAAUACUUAGUUAGAUAAAGACUUCUAAAGUCAAGCCUUUUAUUAAAGGGAUUGUAAUAAAGCAAGUAAGAGAUAUAGACGGUAACAGUAAAAACAAAACAAAAAAGCAGUGAUUAUAAAGUAGCCCUUACACUUGAUUUGGUCCUAAGCUUAGCUUCAGUAAGUUUUAUACAACAAUGUGCCAAUAGCAUGGGUUCCAUCAUGGAAGGGAACAAGGAAGUUUCUCUAAGAUUGUUCAAACUGUCCAUGUUUAUGUUGUUUUCCAAGCUGCGAGUGAUGAGUCACCCUCAGUCAUAUGAAGCUCUGGGAUUCUUAGGUUCCACAUGUGCACAUGGAUGGCAAUAUUUAGCAUGUUUGUUUGUUUAUUACAUUUGUGUAUCAUCAUAUACCUGUAGAUCUCAGGGCUGUUCACAUCAUCAUCAUCAUCAUCAUCAUCAUCACCAUCAUUUAUUUAUUUAUAUGCCACUCAUCUGACUUGGUUACCCCAGGGGCAUCUUCCAACAAAUUAAAGCACAGUAAGACACCAAAUAUUAGAAGAAGAAGAAAAAGAGUUUGGAUUUGAUAUCCCGACUUUCACUCCCUUUAAGUAGUCUCAAAGCGGCUAACAUUCUCCUUUCCCUUCCUCCCCCACAACAAACACUCUGUGAGGUGAGUGGGGCUGAGAGACUUCAGAGAAGUGUGACUAGCCCAAGGUCACCCAGCAGCUGCAUGUGGAGGAGAGGAGACGAGACGCGAACCCGGAUUCCCCAGAUUACGAGACUACCGCUCUUAACCACUACACCACACUGGCUUAAAAACUUCCCUAUACAGGGCUGCUUUCAGAUGUCUUCAAAAAGUCAGAUAGUUGUUUAUUUCCUUGACAUCUGAUGGGAGGGCGUUCCACAGAGCUGGUAUGACUACCGAGAAGGCCCUCUGCUUGGUUCCCUGUAAUUUUUCAGUGAGGGAACCACCAGAAGGCCCUGGGGAGUGGAUCUCAGUGUCCAGGCUAAAUGAUAGGGGUGGAGAUACUCCUUCAGGUAUGCAGAGCCAAAGCCAUAAGGUAGGGUUUGCCAUAUGUCCAUUUCCCCCCAAAUACAUCCUCUUUGGGGGGAAUAAAAUUUGUGUCUGGGUGGAUUUUUAAAAUCUGGCAAAUAUCUAGGCUUUCUGUUCUUGCAGAGCACAUGGACCUCAAGCGAGCUUUUGCCAUAUGUGUAAUCACAGAGAUUUCCCAACCUGGCUGCGUAUAGUUACUUUUGCAACGUUGCCAGUUGCCGGUGCAUGCAUCUGGAGCUGGUUCAGGCUCACUGCCUCCUCCACUGACCAACCCAGAAAAGGGAAAGCAGUAAGCAUCGUGAGAUUUGGGCUGUCUCACACGGGGACGGGUGUGUGUGUAUGAAAUUUAAAUUAGAAACCUAGCAGAGUUUCCUGUUGCUUCCACAGUAGCCAGAACUGGGAAUGUUUGCAAGAAGACACAGGUGAGCGGCAGUUAAAAGAGGACAAGGGGAGUUUAUUUUCUCUCUCUCUUUCCGUUUGCCUUCCCUGUUUCUAUGUUUGCUGAGAAAAAUGCUUGGUGUGGGGGUUAUAGCAAGUGAAGGGACUGUGUGUGAAGAGGAAGGAUUUGCUGGGGUAAGUGCAAAUGUUCAUUCAUUCCUAGAAAUUGAUAGAAGAUUCAAGAAGCAGCGAAGUACUGAUUGUUUUGUCUAUCCAAGGACAUUUUCUAUGGAAACCGUUUUCUGGACAUGCACAGUUUCUGCAGAACACAGUGAUCUGUUUCUCAGUCUGUUUUAUCUCUCCAAGCUGACAACACGGAGAGAAAGAAAUUUUGCACCUUGGAACUUUAAGUGUACCUUCACCAGCGGCUGCGGUGAAAGCCUGUGUAUAUAGCUGAAACCAUUUACGUGUUUAUGACCAGCAA